Non-coding RNA from Myotis davidii, 73 nucleotides. Lineage: Eukaryota; Metazoa; Chordata; Mammalia; Chiroptera; Vespertilionidae. The record is from Rfam.
GCUGCUUUGGCUCAGUGGAUAGAGCGUCAGCUUGCAGACUGAAGGGUUCUGGGUUCGAUUCCAGUCAAGAGCA